CUGCAGUCAAUGAAGCCAAGAGGAUGCCUCUGCUGUUGGGUGCCCAGUGUAGUGGCUGCUGACAUCAAGCUCCUCAGCAGUGCUUGAAGCCUGUUGCUUGUGUGGGCCACCCUAAAGGGCUUAGAGACACUG
Molecule: small nucleolar RNA, 132 nt
Organism: Octodon degus (degu)
Lineage: Eukaryota; Metazoa; Chordata; Mammalia; Rodentia; Octodontidae
Gene: SNORA70
Rfam family: Small nucleolar RNA SNORA70
About the family: snoRNA U70 seems to be exclusive to mammals and is a member of the H/ACA class of snoRNA which contain H (ANANNA) and ACA box motifs. H/ACA box snoRNAs are involved in the conversion of uridines to pseudouridines (5-ribosyluracil) a constituent of structural RNAs (transfer, ribosomal, small nuclear, and small nucleolar).
Source: Ensembl